AACGCACAUUGCGCCCCUCGGUAUUCCGAGGGGCAUGCCUGUUCGAGCGUCAUUUCACCCCUCAAGCUCAGCUUGGCGUUGGGCGCCGUCCUUCACCGGACGCGCCUCAAAGACCUCGGCGGUGGCGUCUUGCCCUCAAGCGUAGUAGAAAACACCUCGCUUUGGAGGACGGGACGUCCGCCCGCCGGACGAACCUUCCGAACUUCGGUUUUCUCAAGGUUGACCUCGGAUCAGGUAGGGAUACCCGCUGAACUUAA
This 257-nucleotide unclassified non-coding RNA is filed under the name uncultured fungus. Its description in RNAcentral is "partial contains 5.8S ribosomal RNA, internal transcribed spacer 2, and large subunit ribosomal RNA". The stretch from base 1 to 52 matches the Rfam family "5.8S ribosomal RNA", at positions 103 to 154 of the family's 154-position model. Lineage: Eukaryota; Fungi. The record is from RNAcentral.